RNAcentral lists this ribosomal RNA (253 nucleotides) under uncultured bacterium. Its description in RNAcentral is "partial 16S ribosomal RNA". It matches the Rfam family "Bacterial small subunit ribosomal RNA", at positions 524 to 776 of the family's 1533-position model. The record is from RNAcentral.
UACAGGGGAUGCGAGUGUUAUUCGGAUUUAUUGGGCGUAAAGCGUCUGCAGGUUGAUAAUUAAGUCAUUUGUAACGUUUUUGAAGUCAAUUCAAAAUAGGCAAACGAAACUGUUUAUCUUGAGUAUGAUAGAGGUAAAAGGAAUUUUUGGUGGAGCGGUGAAAUGCGUAGAUAUCAGAAGGAACACCAAUUGCGAAGGCAUUUUACUGGGUUAUUACUGACACUCAUAGACGAAAGCUAAGGGAGCAAACAGG